This is a long non-coding RNA of Cervus elaphus (red deer), 1220 nucleotides long. RefSeq lists it as uncharacterized. NCBI's taxonomy places the organism in Eukaryota, Metazoa, Chordata, Mammalia, Artiodactyla, Cervidae. The transcript has 6 exons. The record is from RefSeq and is a predicted model, not a curated record.
AAGUUUGGGCUGAGGGCCACAGGGUUUGUGGCUUUCUUCUGAUCGGUCGGUGGUGAGGUCAAGGGUGGUGCCCAAGGAGGCUUGUGCUCAGCCUGAAGGGGGGGCUUUAGUUCCUGCAGCAGAGCUCAAACAUUUCGUUGUCAUGCAUACUCCUCGAGGAGGAACCAGGAGCCCGCUUUAUCGCUUUAUCACUGCAUGAUUGUCUCUUGACUGCCCCUCCUCUGUUCAUUCCCGGAACAAGUGGACUUCUACUGCCCAGAGCUUCCUGCACACCUCGGAAACCUCCUUGCCCCUCACCCGGAGAUUCUGCCAGGCAGCACGGAUCGAGGUUGAGAGUUCUCCUGGGACUUUCAGAUCACUGAUGGUCAAAGGUCACUUGGCUGCUAAGAGCAUGGGAUGUUGACAGCCUGUUCCAGAAUGAGGUGCCAAGACUGGGACAACUUAUCCAGUAUUUCUGAUGUUCUGGUCCUCAAAAGGCAGGGAUCACUGGCAUCAAAACACUGGAAUGAAAUAAUGUGGCUAAAAGGAUUCUAGCAACUUAUGGACUCAUGCAAAGCUGGAAACGGUCCCCUGUUGAAUGUUUGAGACUUCUCUGGAGGCUCUUCAAAAAUCACUGGGAAGAGCAUGAAUGAUCAUGAACAUUUACCAAGUUAAAAGAAUAUUCCUGGCUAGUAUAGAAUUUAAAACUGAAACCAAAGAAAUGACUCAAAAUGGAGCCUGGACUUCAACUGCUUCCUCAGAAGAAGGGCUGGGCGCCGAAGCAGUGCUGGUACCAUCUGUGAGGGAGAAAGAGACACUGUCUCAGAGGCCGUCCUGCGGGGUGGGCGCUGCCCUGCCCACCUCACCUCCCACUCCCCCGAAGGAAGAGGGAGCCCGUUUCACGCUCUCAGACACUGAAUGGUCUUCGGAGGGGCUCGGGUUUGUGACCCUCCUCUAUGACAAUUGGAACAAGAACCCUUGGGUAAGACUGAGCCCAGUGAACUACAAACUAUGCUUCGGUGAGGAAGACUGGGACUGUUAGGCUUUGGCCUUUUGUUUCUUCCCUCGCCUCUAGAAGAAUGGGAGGCUAGCUUUCUUAGUAAAAGGCUGCGAGUUUCUACAAAGUGCUUUUCUGUGUGUGUGUGUAAAGUCUGGGUUUCCUUAGCACCGCGCCUCAUCCCAUUAGCCACGCGGUCAGGCUGCAGGGGGCGCGGCGGGCCGGUGUCCGUGCGGAGGCCCGG